Molecule: ribosomal RNA, 119 nt
Filed under: Pteropus alecto (black flying fox)
Lineage: Eukaryota; Metazoa; Chordata; Mammalia; Chiroptera; Pteropodidae
Source: RNAcentral
GUCUACAGCCAUGCCACCCUGAACAAGCCCGAUCCCGUCCGAUCUCAGAAGCUAAGCAAGGUCGAGCCUGGUUAGUACUUGGAUGGGAGACCACUUAGGAAGACCAGGUGCUGUAGGCG